UUGGAUAACCGUGGUAAUUCUAGAGCUAAUACAUGCUGAAACCCCAACUUCGGGAGGGGUGUAUUUAUUAGAUAAAAAACCAACGCCCUUCGGGGCUUCUUGGUGAUUCAUGAUAACUUUACGGAUCGCAUGGCCUUGCGCCGGCGACGGUUCAUUCAAAUUUCUGCCCUAUCAACUUUCGAUGGUAAGGUAUUGGCUUACCAUGGUUUCAACGGGUAACGGGGAAUUAGGGUUCGAUUCCGGAGAGGGAGCCUGAGAAACGGCUACCACAUCCAAGGAAGGCAGCAGGCGCGCAAAUUACCCAAUCCCGACACGGGGAGGUAGUGACAAUAAAUACUGAUACAGGGCUCUUUUGGGUCUUGUAAUUGGAAUGAGUACAAUUUAAACCUCUUAACGAGGAACAAUUGGAGGGCAAGUCUGGUGCCAGCAGCCGCGGUAAUUCCAGCUCCAAUAGCGUAUAUUAAAGUUGUUGCAGUUAAAAAGCUCGUAGUUGAAACUUGGGCCUGGCUGGCAGGUCCGCCUCACCGCGUGUACUUGUCCGGCCGGGCCUUCCUUCUGGAGAACCUCAUGCCCUUCACUGGGCGUGUUGGGGACCAGGACUUUUACUUUGAAAAAAUUAGAGUGUUCAAAGCAGGCCUUUGCUCGAAUACGUUAGCAUGGAAUAAUAGAAUAGGACGUGCGGUUCUAUUUUGUUGGUUUCUAGGACCGCCGUAAUGAUUAAUAGGGACAGUCGGGGGCAUCAGUAUUCAAUUGUCAGAGGUGAAAUUCUUGGAUUUAUUGAAGACUAACUACUGCGAAAGCAUUUGCCAAGGAUGUUUUCAUUAAUCAGUGAACGAAAGUUAGGGGAUCGAAGACGAUCAGAUACCGUCGUAGUCUUAACCGUAAACUAUGCCGACUAGGGAUCGGGCGAUGUUCUUUUUUUUGACUCGCUCGGCACCUUACGAGAAAUCAAA
Molecule: ribosomal RNA, 953 nt
Filed under: Neocucurbitaria acerina
Lineage: Eukaryota; Fungi; Ascomycota; Dothideomycetes; Pleosporales; Cucurbitariaceae
Description: SSU rRNA
Rfam family: Eukaryotic small subunit ribosomal RNA
Source: RNAcentral